AACGAACGCUGGCGGCAUGCCUAACACAUGCAAGUCGAGCGAGCACUUCGGGUCCUUUGGCGCCCGGGUGCGUAACGCGUGGGAUGAUGAACUCAGGUUUGGAAUAACUACCAGACAGGGGUGAUUAUACCAGACAAUGUCUACGGCCCAAAAAUUUAUCGAAUUUGGAGGGGCAGGCGUUGGAUUAGCUAGUUCGUAGGGUAAAAGCCUACCAAGGCGACGAUACAUAGCUGGUCUGAGAGGCUGAUCAGCGACACUGGGACUGGGACACGGCCGGGAAUCCUACGAAAGGCAGCAAUGCGGAAUAUUGGACAAUGGGCGAAAGACUGAUCCAGCAAUGCCGCGAGAGUGAUGAAGUCCUUAAGGUUGUAAAGCGCAUGUACCCGUGAUGAUAUUGACGGUACCUAGUGAGUAAGCUACGGCUAACUACGUG
Molecule: ribosomal RNA, 433 nt
Filed under: uncultured bacterium
Lineage: Bacteria
Description: partial 16S ribosomal RNA
Rfam family: Bacterial small subunit ribosomal RNA
Source: RNAcentral